Molecule: ribosomal RNA, 447 nt
Filed under: uncultured bacterium
Lineage: Bacteria
Description: partial 16S ribosomal RNA
Rfam family: Bacterial small subunit ribosomal RNA
Source: RNAcentral
CCCAGACUCCUACGGGAGGCAGCAGUGGGGAAUAUUGCACAAUGGGGGGAACCCUGAUGCAGCGACGCCGCGUGGGCGAGGAAGUAUUUCGGUAUGUAAAGCCCUAUCGGCAGGGAAGAAGAAAUGACGGUACCUGAAUAAGAAGCACCGGCUAAAUACGUGCCAGCAGCCGCAGUAAUACGUAUGGUGCAAGCGUUAUCCGGAUUUACUGGGCGUAAAGCGCUCGUAGGCGGUAUGUCAAGUCAAGGGUGAAAUCCCCGCGCUCAACGUGGGAACUGCCUUUGAAACUGGCAAACUGGAGUGUGUGAGAGGAUAGUGGAAUUCCAGGUGUAGGAGUGAAAUCCGUAGAUAUCUGGAGGAACAUCAGUGGCGAAGGCGACUAUCUGGCACAUAACUGACGCUGAGGAGCGAAAGCGUGGGUAGCAAACAGGAUUAGAUACCCUGGUA